CCUACGGGUGGCAGCAGUGAGGAAUAUUGGUCAAUGGGCGGGAGCCUGAACCAGCUAAGUCGCGUGAGGGAAGACGGUCCUAUGGAUUGUAAACCCCUUUAGGCGGGGAGCAAUGCCGGGCACGUGUGCCCGGCGGGAGAGUACCCGCAGUAUAAGCAUCGGCUAACUCCGUGCCAGCAGCCGCGGUAAUACGGGGGAUGCGAGCGUUAUCCGGAUUUAUUGGGUUUAAGGGGUGCGUAGGCGGAUUUUUAAGUCAGCGGUAAAAUGUCCGGGCUCAAUCCGGGUCGGCCGUUGAGACUGGGGAUCUUGAGUGGGCGAGAGGUAUGCGGAAUGCGUGGUGUAGCAGUGAAAUGCAUAGAUAUCACGCAGAACUCCGAUUGCGAAGGCAGCAUACCGGCGCCCGACUGACGCUGAGGCACGAAAGCGUGGGGAUCGAACAGGAUUAGAUACCCCGGUAGUC
This 460-nucleotide ribosomal RNA is filed under the name uncultured bacterium. RNAcentral describes it as "partial 16S ribosomal RNA". It matches the Rfam family "Bacterial small subunit ribosomal RNA", at positions 338 to 795 of the family's 1533-position model. The record is from RNAcentral.